ACGCUUCGGCGAUGCGGCGCACAUCCCAACCCGAAUCUGCGGUCGGACCCGACCAGCCGUAGCCGGGCAUCGACGGGCACACCACGUGGAAUGCGUCGGAGGGAUCGCCUCCGUUCGCUCGCGGAUCGCGCAGCGGUUCGAUGAUGUCGAGGAACUCCGAGACGGAGCCCGGCCACCCGUGCGUGAUGAUGAGCGGCAACGCAUCGGGUUCGGGCGAGCGGGCGUGGAUGAAGUGAACCGACUGCCCGUCGAUCUCGGUGAUGCCGUGCGGCCACCGGUUGAACCUCGCCUCCUGCGCCGACCAGUCGAACGUCGUGCGCCACGUCUCACAGAGAUCACGCAGGUACUCGCCAUCGGUGCCGUAACCCCAGCCCGAU
RNAcentral lists this unclassified non-coding RNA (377 nucleotides) under uncultured bacterium. RNAcentral's name for it is "contains 16S-23S intergenic spacer region". The record is from RNAcentral.